Molecule: ribosomal RNA, 226 nt
Filed under: uncultured bacterium
Lineage: Bacteria
Description: partial 16S ribosomal RNA
Rfam family: Bacterial small subunit ribosomal RNA
Source: RNAcentral
GCGUUGUCCGGAGUGACUGGGCGUAAAGCGCGCGCAGGCGGCCUGCGAGGUGUCACGUGAAAGCCCCGUGCUCAACGCGGGAGGGUCGUGGCAAACCGGUAGGCUUGAGGCCGGUAGAGGUGGGUGGAACUCCUGGUGGAGUGGUGAAAUGCGUAGAGAUCAGGAAGAACACCCGUGGCGAAGGCGGCCCACUGGGCCGGUACUGACGCUGAGGCGCGAAGGCGUG